RNAcentral lists this microRNA precursor (195 nucleotides) under Oryza meridionalis. Its description in RNAcentral is "MIR812 microRNA precursor family". It matches the Rfam family "MIR812 microRNA precursor family". The record is from Rfam by way of RNAcentral. Lineage: Eukaryota; Viridiplantae; Streptophyta; Magnoliopsida; Poales; Poaceae.
UUUAAGCAGUACUAAUCUACUUAUCGUGUUCAACUUUAAUUAUUCGUCUUAUUUAAAAUAUUUUUAUAAUUAGUAUUUUAUUGCUAUGAGAUAAUAAAAUAUAAAUAAUAUUUAUGUUUUUAAUUUUUUUUUACAAAUUUUUUAAAUAAGACUAACGAUCAAAAUUGUGCACGGAAAAUUAUGGCUGUAUUUAAA